AGAAAAGAGACUAAAAUAUUCAGAUCUGGUACUAGCCCUGAACAGGGCUAGCUCCAGCUUUUUUGCCACCCCAAGCGGCAAAGAAAAAAAAGAAGCAGGACCUGCCGCCGAAUUGCUGCCGAAGACGUGGACAUGGCGCCCCAAUCAUGGACAGAGAGCCGCUCCAAUCACGGACAGAGAGCAGCCCCUUUCUAUUGGCUGCCCCAGGCACCUACUUCCUUCACUGGUGCCUGGAGCCGACCCUGGCCCUGAACAUGUGGUUUGGAGCUAGCCAUCAAUCUGAACUAGCCUGGGCAAUGUCAAGUGCUAGAAGGAGAAGGAAAGAAGAAGCCUCACUUGAACGAGCAGAGGACCUCUGGAGACUUGUGUUCCUAGCGUCUCCAGAUACGACCAAGGCCUUUCAGGAUAGUUGGGCAAUAGACUAAUUUAUAGAUCCUCAGCUGCACUUGGACUUUCAGAUCAAGAACAGUAAAAGGAAUGCCAAAGACAUUCUGAGAGGCUGUGCAAUUUGCUACAGAACUUGAAUCAUUUCUUGCAGCAGUUCAUAAGAGGAAGCAGCUGCUAGUGAUGAAGAAGCUGAUCACCAUGAGCCCUGGUCAUUAUCUAUCCCUUGAGAGUCUUUGUAAAGGUCCAAAUUUCAAAUAAACAGAACACUAUAAGACAGACUGCCCCAGAAGGGGAGAGCCGGCUGGAGGACCAAGGCACAAGACGAGGCAGGCUACUGCAGAGGCAGAGCAGCCAGUGGUCACAGACCCCACGGGUGACAGAGCCGCCAUGCCACGCCUGGCCACAAGGAGGCACGAGCAAUGAGUCAACCCUUUCGCAACUGGUGGAGAACGGGGGAGAGGGGGAAGAAGCGACUGACCCAGAUGGUCUAAUAGCCGUGACCUAUAGCCAUGGGUUGGUGAGUCAGAUAACAUGGACUUGGAGCGUCUUCUCAAGCGGAUGAAUGAGAAGCAGCCCAGCAGCAGCAAAGCUCCUGCAGCAAACAGCUGGUCUGGCACCUAGGGGCACAACAGCAGCAAAGGUGGGUCCAGCAGGUAGUAGCACUGAUGCAGGGUCUCCCUGGGUCUGAUAUCCAGGGGCUAUAGGCCCCGGCCCAAUGGCCCCACCUGUGCCAGUGAAAUUCGCAAAGAUAGGUCCUGAGGAGGCCUGGAGGCCUUCCUGAUAUCAUGUGAGCGAGAGGCAACAGCAGCCCAGUGGCCCAGUGGCCACCUGACCAGUGGGCACCUUAUCUGACAGGACCAGCAUAGGCUGCAUAUUAGGGGCUGGAUGUGGCAUCUGUCCAAGACUAUGGGAAGGUGAAAGCAGCCAUACUCCACGACCUUGAUAUCAUGGAGGGGACCUUCUGACAGAGGUCCCGUGGGGAGAAAUAAUCCCGGGAGCUGAGCCCUGCUUGGUCACAGAAAUUAAGAGGCCUAUGCUGGAGGUGGUUAAAGCCAGAGACUCGGACUGGAGUUGAGGUGACCGAGCUCAUCAUGGUAAAGCAGUUCUCUCACAUGCUUCCGGAGGGGGGUAAGGACUAGGUGCUCGACCACUGGCCAGAGUCCCUAGUCGGUGCUGACCAGCUAACAAAAAAUUAUUUAGCUGCAGAAACAGCUCUGGCAGCUUCACAUAAGCAACUGCCUGAGACCAAGGGAAGGCCCAACCAUGGGAACUGGCAAUCAGACAGGGCAGUCUCAGAAACACCAGGCUGCAAAGGGCCCAGCAGGCCGCUGUGCCCUGGAUUGGCUCCCAUUGUGAAAUCCCAGCCCCUCGGGCCCCAGCCCAGACAAAAGCCCUUGAGACCCGCAUGGGCUCCUUUGUUGGAAAGUCAGGGUGUGGGAGCAGACAAGUCACAUAGGGAAGGGCUGCCUCAGACAUAAAGCACAGGGCCAGUAGCCACGCAGCCAACAGUGGAGACUUGCUUUUCAUGUGGGCGCCUGGGUCAUUGGUGUCACAAGUGCCCCUUUAUGGAUUGUGGUUAUGGACAAAUGUGGCUGGCAGAAAGCCAUGCCUGUAAGUGAACCCGAGCAAAAGUAACUGUCCCUGUUCAGAUAAAUGGAACUGAUGUAAUGGGCCUGGUGGAUUCCAGGUGUGGGAAGACCCUGGUCCAGGAUGAUUUUAUCCCAAACCCUGAAGCCCCUGGGUAGACUAUUUUUCUACAGUGUAUCCCUGGAGAGGUUAGACCCUAUCCAAGUGCAUAUGUGAGGCUGACUCUGGGGAAAACACAAAGUCCCUUGUAGUGGGGCUGGCCUCCAUACUAGCCUGUGACGUUAUUGACAGAAUCUGUAACCAUAUAGAUCAUUGUUGCAACCAAAGUCCUGUAGUGGCACCAAAUCUUGUAUAAAGGGGGUCAAAUAAGGUGUCUAAAACAAGGUUAUGGUUUUCUCGUUAUGCUAUCUGUAUAUAUGUAUCAUUCUUGUAGGUGAAGUUAUGAACAUUGGCUCUAUCUUGUCUGUAUUUCAAACUUAUGCUAUGCUUCUGGGUGAGGCCCCAGAUAAGUUGGUGUCACCUCUGCCUGCUUGAUGGACCAUUAAGGACCAUCAGCUAUACAAUUGACCCAUUGAGAGAAGGCAGACACACCUUGUGACUCAUCAAGGUAUGCAGGGACAUGACUAUGGACAGAACUCUGAGGUUUUUCCAUGCCAUGUGAUGGACAGCUUGUCCUUGGGACAAAGAAAGCAGAGACCACAUGGCAAGAGACUAUAAAAAGCAGCUGCAGCUCGUCCAUCUGGUCUUCAAUCCUGCUUCUUAUCUCUGGAAAGACUUUGCUACAAAUGGAAGCUCUACACAGAGGACUGAUGACCCCUCCUGUCUGUGGAUGUACUCCAGAGACUUGAUUUGAACCUGCAGUUUAUUCCAUCACUGCUACAAGCCUGAACCAAGAACUUUGCCAUUACUGUAUGUAAUUGAUUCCAUUUAACCAUUUUGCUCUCAUCUAUAUCUUUUUCCUUUUAUGAAUAAACCUUUAGAUUUUAGAUUC
Molecule: long non-coding RNA, 2965 nt
Organism: Dermochelys coriacea (leatherback sea turtle)
Lineage: Eukaryota; Metazoa; Chordata; Testudines; Dermochelyidae
Exons: 3
Source: RefSeq, a predicted model, not a curated record